AGUGAACGCUGGCGGUAGGCCUAACACAUGCAAGUCGAACGGCAGCACAGUAAGAGCUUGCUCUUACGGGUGGCGAGUGGCGGACGGGUGAGGAAUACAUCGUAAUCUACUUUUUCGUGGGGGAUAACGUAGGGAAACUUACGCUAAUACCGCAUACGACCUACGGGUGAAAGCAGGGGAUCUUCGGACCUUGCGCGAUUGAAUGAGCCGAUGUCGGAUUAGCUAGUUGGCGGGGUAAAUGCCCACCAAGGCGACGAUCCGUAGCUGGUCUGAGAGGAUGAUCAGCCACACUGGAACUGAGACACGGUCCAGACUACUACGGGAGGCAGCAGUGGGGAAUAUUGGACAAUGGGCGCAAGCCUGAUCCAGCCAUACCGCGUGGGUGAAGAAGGCCUUCGGGUUGUAAAGCCCUUUUGUUGGGAAAGAAAAGCAGCAGGUUAAUACCCCGCUGUUCUGACGGUACCCAAAGAAUAAGCACCGGCUAACUUCGUG
Molecule: ribosomal RNA, 492 nt
Filed under: uncultured bacterium
Lineage: Bacteria
Description: partial 16S ribosomal RNA
Rfam family: Bacterial small subunit ribosomal RNA
Source: RNAcentral